This is a long non-coding RNA of Papilio machaon (common yellow swallowtail), 309 nucleotides long. RefSeq lists it as uncharacterized. NCBI's taxonomy places the organism in Eukaryota, Metazoa, Arthropoda, Insecta, Lepidoptera, Papilionidae. The record is from RefSeq and is a predicted model, not a curated record. The transcript has 3 exons.
ACAGAUUUUCAAACAAAAUGUCGUUAAAGCGCUUAACUUCAAAUCAAACUAAAAAUGAAUUUUGAAUUUUCAAUACCUUUGCAAAAAGAUGAGCUUUUGGAAUCUUCCAGUGGACAAUACCAUGUUGAAGAUGUGGUCCAACCAAGGAUUUUACUAUCAAAACUACAUGAUGCAGCGCGAGCCUACAAUUCGGACGGAGUGGAAUAUAUUUUAGAACAUUUUGAUACAUAUUUCUCUGUAAUUGUACAUGGAACAAAACUAGAAUGGAAUGUUAUUAAUAAAGGGUAUGAACACAUUCUUAGAACAGUG